This 1101-nucleotide long non-coding RNA is filed under the name Brassica napus (rape). Its description in RNAcentral is "long non-coding RNA (BNAP_LNC009851)". Lineage: Eukaryota; Viridiplantae; Streptophyta; Magnoliopsida; Brassicales; Brassicaceae. The record is from RNAcentral.
UUUGUCUACAAUCUUCUACUUCAAUUUUCUCGUCUCUCACUUCCAUCAUUAUAUUAUUCACAGCAAUACAUAUCUUCAAAACUAUGAGAAGCUAACCAAAUAUUAGCACACAAAAAUGUAUGCUCAACAUACAAAUUAAGUUUACUUUUCCUAGUACCCACUAUAAACCUCAUUAUUAUAAAAUAAUAUAUAUCACAUAAAUAUAAUGUAUCCAGUCAUGCUAAUGAGUCAUCUAAAUGACUCAUUGAACACCUUAAAUGACUAUUAACACCCACAUCAGCUGAAAGGGCAUGGAUAAUCUCUAUUAAUGAUAGAAACCUUCUCCGUCUAUAUAAAUGGUGGUCUCUUUCACAAUUAUCAUCAAACAUACAAUACACAAAAAAUUUCAAAUGUCUACACAGCUUAGAAUCUCUCCACGUAAUUCUGUUAAGUCAAAAUGUCAUGUCUCCUACAUGAAGAAGCUGAAACAUGCAAGGGAGUUUAUAAUAUCCGACGUGCGCAUGUGUAUCAAUGCUCCUCCCGGCCAUUUCACAAAAAAAAAGAGAGUAUACAAGAGUCUAUAAAAAUGCAUGCCUCCACAGCUUGGCUAAAUACCCUCUCCAGACACUUUGAUGUUACAAAUCAGUGAUGAAAGCUUGCCUCAAGCAUGGCAAAGGAGUCUAACAAUGUUUUGCAAUCAACAAUUCUCAACAAAGCCUAAAACCUCUCAAGAUCUUAGCUAACCACAAAUAUGCUGAAGUUAACUAUUUUUAUGUCAUGCUUUUGUUGGGCACAUGAGAAUAUGAAGAAGACAUGAAAUGUCAAGAUCUCCAUAAUUGGCAAGCCAACAUAAAUGACUCAUUAACACCUUAAAUGACUAUUAACACCCACAACAGAUGAAAGGGCAUGGCUAAUCUCUAUUAAUGACACAAACGUUCCCGUCUAUAUAAAUGGUUGUCUCUUUUACAAUUAUCAUCAAACAUACAAUACACAAAUACUUUCCAAAUGCAAACACAACUUAGAAUCUCUCUACACAUUUAUGUUAAGUCAAAAGCUGAAGAUGCAUGGGAGUUUACAGUAUCCGACGUGCAAUGUGUAUCAAUGCUUCCCCCGAUCAUUUCA